Pantherophis guttatus is the source of this 4295-nucleotide non-coding RNA. The record is from RefSeq and is a predicted model, not a curated record. NCBI's taxonomy places the organism in Eukaryota, Metazoa, Chordata, Lepidosauria, Squamata, Colubridae.
CACCUAAAGGGGAAAAAAAGAUUACACAAUACUCAGUGACAAUUGUUUGGACGGGUCUAAUUUUCUCUUGAGUUUAGAGCUCAUAAAAUCUGGCCACUUGGGUAUUUUCUGAAUUAGCCUGUGUCUCACUUUAAUCUCAGUGGUAUAUAAAUUUAAACAUGCUGUCUUAUUAUUUACUUUAAGCCUUUGAAAAACUUUGAAUCAAACAAAUCAUGUUUACCAUUUAACAAUAAAACAUUAACAAAAAAAAAGAACACAUGUGCAUACACAUACACACACUCUCUCUCACACACACACACAUGAUUGCCUGUACAAAUACCUGCAGUUUUCUUGCCAUGAUUUUCAUAAGUAGUUUGCCACUGCCUUCUUCCUAGGGCUAAGACAGAGUGGCUGGCACAAGGUCAUCCAGCUGGCUUGUGCCUCAUAAUCUCCUGGUUUCUAGUCUGGUGCCUUAACCACUACAGGAAAUUAACUGUAUUUUAUAUAUUAAAACAUUCUAAUUUAUACUCAUGCUCUUGACUUCUGUUUAUUUUUCAGUUAUGUUGAAAUAAGUAAGGAUAAUAGUAUAAGCUAGUAGUCCUUAAACUCCUUGACUCAAAUAUCUCUUUUCAUACUGUUGGAUUGGAUUACUUAUAGUACUGUUUGAAUUAAUCUCACCAACACCUCCCUCCUCAGAAUCUUGUUUUAGCCAAGCAUUUCAGCAGUGACAGUCCCAAAUUGGAUCACUGACUCACAAACAAGCAAUUACAAAUUGCUGCAUUACUCCAGGGAUAUCCCUGGUUUCUCCCUUGGGUGUAAUUAUCCCUGUUUAAGAACUACUGGCAUAAACAUUAAUUUCUUACAAUUUUCAGUAUCUCUUGCUCUAUGGAUAUAUUCAACAUAUCAACUCUUAUAUACUAUCUGUCCUAAUAUACCUUUCUCUCACACACAAAAUCAGAAUUUGAAAGACAUAACUACAAUACUGUCGGAUAUAUGAUUUUGAGUAAUCCUCGAUUUAUGCCACAGUUGAGUCCAAAAUUUCCAUUAGUAAGCAAGACAGUUGUUAAGAAAGAUGCACCCCAUUUUACAAUCUUUUUUUGCCACAGUUGUUAAGUGAUUACUGCACUGGUUAAACAAAUUGGUUGUUAAACAGAUCUGGUUUCUUUCAUUGACUUAGCUUGUCAGAAGCUGUCUGAGAAGGUUACAAAUAGUGAUCACAUGACCAUGGGACAGUGCAACAGUUAUCAUGUGAACAUGGGGAUGUCUCAACUGGUUCUGAGCUGGCAAGCAAUAAAGCCUCUGCUUCAAUCUCCUGUUUAGUUCCACUGGCUCAUUCUAUGCAGAUAAAGUGACCUAUGUUUUGCUGGUUGAUGUUUUAGGAGAUGCUGAUGCAGAAAUCUGGAAGAUCCAUGCCAUGAAUCAAGAGGUAAUCUGCUCCCUACAGUGAAGUUGAAGCAUUCACAGAAUAGUACUUCAGGAUCUGCGUCAUACCUAUUUCUUUAUCAUUGUGCUAAGGCCUAUAAAAGACCUGCAUCUGCCCUACUGGAAUUAUCCAGCAUCCUAGGAAAAGCACCUUUAAUCCAUUGCUUUAUUCAGCUAGCAUAUCAAAUCUGUCACGUUGAACAAAGGACUGCUUUGCUUGUAAUGACUGUGGCAUUAAUAUUUAUUUGAGAGACUGCUUCUUUCUGAUUAUGUCUGCCUAUGUCCAGCAGAAGGAAUAUGUAACAGGUCCCAAUUACUAAUGAGUUAUAUCUGGCAACACUCGGGAGAAAUAUCUUUUCUUUCAGGCACCUACCCUCUGAAACAUCAUUCUCCCUGAGGUGAGACUGGCCCUUUUUAUGCCAAAAUCCAGAAAGCCCUUAAAAUGUGGCUAUAUAAGCAGGUUUGGGAACCUGACGAAAAUGGUGAACUUGUAGAUGACUACACUAUAAUCAUAUCAAGAUGCUCUCCCUAGUCUUGUUAGUUAGUGCUUUUUCAUAAUAGUAGUCAUCCUUCUGAAAGCAGUAUUUUUGUACAUAGAAGCGCUUUUUCUUCUGAUAAAGCUGACAUUAGGUUUUAGAAGGUCUAACUUUCUCCCUGCUUUGCUCAGUCUGUGCUACUGCUGCUAGACUUUCAGACUCAAGCCCAGAGAUGAGACAGUGAGAUCCAAUCAUGUCCAAUUCUUUAUUUGAUUACACCUAUUAGACAGAACUUUGCCAGACUAAAGCUAAAAACGUCUAAUUUAAUAUUUCCUGAGAGAUCGUAAGAUAUGGCUUCUCCAAACCUCUUACCAUCUCAUCCCUUCUAGCUUGGGACAACACACUCUCUUGAUCUGUGUCUCCCUCUGGGAAAGCUCCGAGUUGACCAAAUCCUUCCUCACUGCUGCUGCAAGUGCACAUUCGAUCACACAGAUUGAGCAAUGAGGGCAUAGAAUACCUUCCAAAUAAGAAAUCCAGUUGGGCAAUACUAAGUCUUGCUUUCAUUCGUAUUUUCAUAUCUGUGCAUCAGUUCUUACAUCAAUUUUACAGAGGUUAUUAAAACAAGGUCCAGCAAAUUAUUCUUAGUAUUCAUAAAGGGAUGCAUUACCAAGUAUAAAUGCUGUUCCCUAUUUCUUUCACAUACCAAUUGUGUUGUAUUAAACAUAACUUUAAUACAUUUUAUAUAUUAUAUAUGGUUAUUUUGAAUAUGUGCCUUGCAUACAAACACAAAAAGUUUCCAUGACAACUUAGUUUUUUUUAAUUCUCCGUUAAUGCCCAUUAUUAUUCAAAAUCAUCUUACCAUCUUGGUUUACCAGUGAGGAGGUUAAACAUAUGACAUCACCUACAAUAAUAUCGGUGAGCUCAGGGGAGAUGGCAUGUUGGACAGGAAGAGGGACAUAGUCUGCAAUAUUGUGUUCCGCAUCCCAAACCUUAAGCAAACUUAGUCCAACGUUCAUUGUUCGAAGUACCAAAGUAUUGUUAGAGGUCCCUUUCCCAACCUGUAAAAAAUCAUCUCUGUAGACAAAAACAAUUUAUUAAAAUAAAUAAAUAAAUAAAUUAUUAUUAACAGUCAAGAGAACAGAAUUGUGUGAAUGUCAUAGAUACAAAGUGAAAAGUUAGAUCACUUAUACCCAUCUACUGUGGUUUGGAAAUGUUUUUCAUUUGUUCCAAGUAGCCCAAUUUUUAAGAUAGUUUUUAAUUCCAGCAUGUACAGUGUUAUACAGAAAUUCACUACACUAUUACAGAAUGUUUACUGUAUAUAAAGAAAUAUAAGAUCAAAUAUCAGUCAUGUAUUAAUUGCUUGUUGGGGCGACUUACAGAUUGUUUGUUUAGGUCCACUUACAAAUGACUAAUACACUUGAUCAUAUGUGCUUUUCUUGUAAGUACUAUAAAACAAAUGGGAUUUAUUCCAGCUAAAUGAGUUUAAUUACUAUUAAAAGAAACUGGCAUGAGUUUUAAACACAUAAUACAGAUGCAUUACCUUGAUUUACAGGAUUAUGCAAAUAAUCUUGAAAAGAUGCUUUGAAGUGCACUGUAGUCUGAAUAUAACAUUUGCCUACAACUCUUGAAAGUAGCAGUAGCUUUUCUGGCAUCCUGCAGCUGCCCUUGUGGUUGCCAAAUGGCCCUAGGUAAACACUAGGCUGAUUUAAACACUUUGAUGACAAGUGCUACAUUUAUUUCCCCAUACUCCAAAAGCACCUUUCUGAACCUAAAGCACUGUCUGGUAUAUAUUUUCCAUCCACCAAUCUUGUAGGGCCCCAUGUACUCUAUCAAUAUGUUAACUGUAAACUACAUUCAUCAGUUUCUUCAUCCAACUCAUGGAUGUUGGCUAUACAGCGAUACAACAUUAGUACAUACACCAUUCUACUGAUAUAUAUCAAGCACCUGACAAUUGCCGUAGAACAAUCAAAAUAACUUCAGGUACCAUAAAUGAUAAUUAGAAUGUUCUCUUUCACUGUGUGUCUUCAUGUAGAGGCCAAGUAAUAGUCAAACUGAAAUGCUUUAGUAAUGUUCACGUAAUUUAUGCUAAUCAAAUGCUAAUCAAAUUACCUGUUGACUGCAAAGUGAAGCAUGGAAUUUUGUGAGUGGAAAGUAUUUCCAUAAUUGUCAUGGAAGUGGAUAGUCAAACUCAAAGUGAUGCCCAAUGGUAAUGCCAGUAAAGGUUCAUGAUUUUUUGUAUGGAAAAUUGGGUUCAUGGAUAUUCUCAGGUAGGAAAUAGGAGCUACCUGCAUGAUACAUUCAGUAAAAAAUUGAAGGUGAAAUCAGUUUCCCGUUGCUCAAAAUACAUGUAAGCAGUUAUAUUGUAUAUGAUUAUCUGGAUUACUUUUUACCCUACUAAUAAACACGUUUUUGAUUUUA